Molecule: long non-coding RNA, 424 nt
Organism: Bubalus bubalis (water buffalo)
Lineage: Eukaryota; Metazoa; Chordata; Mammalia; Artiodactyla; Bovidae
Exons: 2
Source: RefSeq, a predicted model, not a curated record
AGGAUGGAGGAAAGGGACUUCUGUCCAUGCUUUGACCUCAGCGGUGAAGGGGAACUGGCUCCCUGAAGACAAGAUGGCAGCGGUGUCAGACAGAAAGAAUUAAGGACCUGUUCUAUCAGCAUCAGCCAUGCUCCUGAAAACAGACGCUUCAGGGAAAAUUAACUGGACAGACUCACCUGAGAAUUGGUCCCCUUCUCAAGAAGUAAUUCACCAGAUGCUUGAUUCAAUGUUUAUUUUGUUACAGCUUCUUUGUAUUUGACCACCAAUCACACCCAAACUAUAUGUAAAAUAUUUAGAUUAUCAUUGGAGAUGCACUUUAAAAUAAAUUUUUAGUAACCCAUAGUUAGAAAACAAGGGAAAAGAAAUUUUUAUAAAUAGGUUUUUAAUCCAAACAUAACAUGGAAUAAAAAAUACCAAGAGAAAA